ACCCGCUGAAUUUAAGCAUAUCACUAAGCGGAGGAAAAGAAACUAACCAGGAUUCCCCUAGUAACGGCGAGUGAAGAGGGAAAAGCCCAGCACCGAAGCCUGCGGCAGAUUUGCUGUUAGGCAAUGUGGUGUUUGGGUCGGCUCGUGGGAUUGCCACUCCACUCGAAGUCCAGCAUUGAGUAUGGUCACUGGAUUUGGCCCAGAGAGGGUGAAAGGCCCGUACGGGUGGAGGUUCAGACAUGUAAGGCAGUUCACCAGGCCGACCUUAGAGUCGGGUUGUUUGAGAAUGCAGCCCAAAGCGGGUGGUAAACUCCAUCCAAGGCUAAAUACAAGCACGAGUCCGAUAGCGAACAAGUACCGUGAGGGAAAGUUGAAAAGUACUCUGAAGAGAGAGUAAACAGUACGUGAAACCGCAUGCAGGUAAACGGGUGGCGUCAAGCUGCAAGCCCAGAGGAUUCAGCCGGCUAGGAUGUUGUGUAUGCGCCUGGCGCAUCUAUCAGUCGGAGUAUGAUUGGAUAGUCCACCGGAAGACGGUGGGCCCGGCCGCAAGGUCGGGAUAUGUGUACCGGGUGGGUGCCGGAGCAUGCUAUCCGUCUAGGGACUGUCUAGCCGGUGCACUUUCUCUGUGGUGAACACCACGACCGGUGGUAUUGCCAGUCUGCUGUGUCCAAGUCGUGCUUGGUAGGUCCUUGUGGCCAACUGGGUGCGAUGACAGGCAAACUCAGUAAACGGCGUAGAGGUAUCUCGGUAUCUUUGCGUGUUAUCGGCUACUGGUUGUCAACGGGCCUGCCCGAUGUGUGCUGUUGUAACCGGCAUCGGGUGGUCUGGUGGGGCAUGGUGGUAAGAAUAACUGUGCAAGGCACCGGAGUUAUCGGCCUCAAAUGCCUUCUGCGCCCAUGUUACAGUGGCAAUAGCAGUGUCGUUGCUGCCUGCCCGGUGUUGGGUCUGAUUGUCGUGUCGCCUGCACAAAGUAGGCCCGGCAGUGGUCCGACUCGGGAUGGGUAGUGGAUGAUGUUGUUAGUGCAGGAGGUGGUGGGCCCAAUAGUCAGUGGUGUAGUGGUAGACGAGCUACCCGACCCGUCUUGAAACACGGACCAAGGAGUUUAACAUGUAUGCGAGUCAAUGGGCGUUACGAAACCCAAAGGCGCAGUGAAAGUGAAGCUUCGACUUGUCUCGGAGUGAGGUGAGAUCCUGCUGUUACUCGCAUCAGCCUAAUGUCAGCAUCAGGCUCAAGAGCAGUAGGCGCAUCACCGGCCCGUCCCAUGAUGUGGUCAUUGGAUGUCUGUGGUUGUUGCCCUUCACGGGGUGGUGGCCAUGGUGCCAGUGCGUCAUCGGGGCGGUGCAUGAGCAUACAUGUUGAGACCCGAAAGAUGGUGAACUAUGCUUGCGUAGGUUGAAGCCAGAGGAAACUCUGGUGGAGGACCGCAGCGAUUCUGACGUGCAAAUCGAUCGUCAAACGUGAGCAUAGGGGCGAAAGACUAAUCGAACCAUCUAGUAGCUGGUUCCCUCCGAAGUUUCCCUCAGGAUAGC
RNAcentral lists this ribosomal RNA (1530 nucleotides) under Rostellotaenia nilotica. Its description in RNAcentral is "eukaryotic LSU rRNA". It matches the Rfam family "Eukaryotic large subunit ribosomal RNA", at positions 23 to 982 of the family's 3401-position model. Lineage: Eukaryota; Metazoa; Platyhelminthes; Cestoda; Proteocephalidea; Proteocephalidae. The record is from RNAcentral.